Molecule: ribosomal RNA, 491 nt
Filed under: uncultured bacterium
Lineage: Bacteria
Description: partial 16S ribosomal RNA
Rfam family: Bacterial small subunit ribosomal RNA
Source: RNAcentral
GUGAACGCUGGCGGUAGGCCUAACACAUGCAAGUCGAACGGCAGCACAGUAAGAGCUUGCUCUUACGGGUGGCGAGUGGCGGACGGGUGAGGAAUACAUCGGAAUCUACUUUUUCGUGGGGGAUAACGUAGGGAAACUUACGCUAAUACCGCAUACGACCUACGGGUGAAAGCAGGGGAUCUUCGGACCUUGCGCGAUUGAAUGAGCCGAUGUCGGAUUAGCUAGUUGGCGGGGUAAUGGCCCACCAAGGCGACGAUCCGUAGCUGGUCUGAGAGGAUGAUCAGCCACACUGGAACUGAGACACGGUCCAGACUCCUACGGGAGGCAGCAGUGGGGAAUAUUGGACAAUGGGCGCAAGCCUGAUCCAGCCAUACCGCGUGGGUGAAGAAGGCCUUCGGGUUGUAAAGCCCUUUUGUUGGGAAAGAAAAGCAGCAGGUUAAUACCCCGCUGUUCUGACGGUACCCAAAGAAUAAGCACCGGCUAACUUCGUG